Non-coding RNA from Chlorocebus sabaeus (green monkey), 782 nucleotides. NCBI's taxonomy places the organism in Eukaryota, Metazoa, Chordata, Mammalia, Primates, Cercopithecidae. The record is from RefSeq and is a predicted model, not a curated record.
CACCCAAACUCAUUCUUCACCACAUUCCCUUCCUCACUGAUGAGUUUAAGGCUGGUGUAGUGGCCCCAGCACAGCAGGAGUAAGAGGACUGGAAUCUUGGAAUUUAACUCUUCAAAUAUGGAAAUAAGUUCAGGGUGCUCUUCCUGCCAUGCAUCCUGUCAUCCCUACGGAAGGAGCCUGUAGAACACCUGCAGUUAGGCAGAGAUCAGGCUAGGUGGGUAACUGCGGUCUCCUACACACCUACCAAUGCUCAUUCCAGCUCCUCGUGGUAGGUGUUCCUCUUUACUUUUAGGUUCACAUAUAUUCUUCCUUAUUUUUUUUUAAGAAAGUUACUGUAUGGAUUGAAAGCUGUCCCUACCAAAAGAUGUUGACAUACCAACCCCCAGUACCUGUGAAGGUGACCUUAUUUGAAAAUGGGGUCUUUGCAGAUGAUCAAGUUAAGAUGAGGUCACUAGGUCAGGCUCUAACUCAGUGUGACUGAUGCCCUUACAAAAAGAGGAAAUUUAGACACAGACAGACAUGCACGGAGAGAGUACAACGUGAAAACAGAGAAAAGACGGCCAUCUACAAACCAAGGAAUACCUGAGGCUACAGAAGCAAGGAGAGAGACGAGGAACAGCUUCUCCCUCACAGUCCUCAGAAGAGACCAACCCUACCAACACUUUGAUUUCAGACUUUCAGCCUCCAGAACUGUGAAGCACAUUUCUGUUGUUUAAGCCACCAGUUUGUGGUACUGUGUUUUGGCAGUCUCAGGAAACAAAUACAGUUACGUUUGAUAAAAA